RNA transcript from Arachis stenosperma, 4489 nucleotides. It is a transcript of the gene named putative disease resistance protein At3g14460, with no coding region annotated. The record is from RefSeq and is a predicted model, not a curated record. The transcript has 5 exons. Lineage: Eukaryota; Viridiplantae; Streptophyta; Magnoliopsida; Fabales; Fabaceae.
UAUCUCGCUUAUAUGACUUUUAUUAUUGUUGAAUACCUUGCAAGCAUUACUGCAAUAUUGCUCUCUCUUCCUUACAUUCUCAAAAUCCAAUCACUCACUGAUUAAUUCGCUGUUGUUGUGAUCUGCAUCAUAUCAUGGCUGAAGCACUUGUUGUUGGAGCUUUAGUUUCUGGCUUCGCCAACGUCAUUCUUGACAGGCUCAUUUCACGUGAGUUUGUCAACUUGGUGGUGGGCAAGAAGCUGGACCGGAAGUUGGUUGAGAGGCUGAGGACUGCUAUCUUGGCUGCCAAAGCUCUGGUUGCUGACGCUGAGCAGAAGCAGUUUGGAAACGAACUCGUGAGGGAGUGGCUUGAUAGUCUCAGGGAUGCUCUCUACACUGCGGAUGACUUGCUGGACCGUGUCUUCAUCAAAGCUCAAAUUCGCAACAAGGUACGCACUCGGCUUCCUCACUUCCUUGAUCUGUCUGGUAGGAAGUCUAAUAGGGAGAUGAUGACUAAGAUAGAAGAGGUGGUUGAAAGAAUAGUAGAUCUUGAGACUCACAAAGAUACCCUUGGUCUCAAAGAGAUUCCAACGGGUAGCUCCUCAUGGAGACCUCCAUCCACUUCUCUUGUCAAGGGGAAUUUGUUCGGCAGGGAUGCUGACCAACAGGCACUAAUCAAGAUGCUCAAUGACAACAGUCAUCAUAGCUUGUCUGUCAUCUCUAUUGUUGGUAUGGGUGGGGUUGGUAAAACUACUUUAGCACAAUGGCUCUACAACAAUAAGGAUUUGAUGUACGGGGUUGAUCUGAAAGUAUGGAUUUGUGUUUCUGAAAAUUUUGAUGUCGUUGAGACUACUAAGAAUGUUAUAAAGGGGAUCUCUUUAGGUGUCUGUAGCCUUGACAGUUUUGAUUUACUUCAACAAGAUUUGAAGAUAAAACUGUCAGAAAAGAAGUUCUUCAUUGUUUUGGACGAUGUUUGGAGUGAAGAUGCUGACAAAUGGAAUAGUUUUAUCACCCCUUUUCAACAUGGGAGAAAGGGAAGCACUAUUCUUCUAACUACCCGCAUGGUAAAUGUUGGUCGAAUAGUCCAACAUUAUAACUGUUACACCCUCAAUCAACUGUCAGAUGAUUAUUGUUGGUCUAUUUUCGCGGACAAUGCAUCCUUUCCUGAAUCAAAUGGGAGCUCAGAACUGGAAGGAAUAGGCAGAAGGAUUGUCGAGAGAUGUGAUGGCUUGCCGUUAGCUGCAGAAACACUUGGACGCUUGUUGCGCUCAGAGCGUCAUGUUGAAGAAUGGAAUAAAAUACUAUCGAGUGACAUUUGGGAAUUUUCUGUGGCAAAUUGCAAGAUUGUUCCUGCAUUGUUAUUAAGUUACCAUCAUCUACCUACUCAGUUAAAACGUUGCUUUGUUUAUUGUUCAUUGUAUCCCAAAGAUCAUAAACUUGAUAAAGAUGAAUUAAUCUUGCUGUGGAUGGCUGAAGAUCUUUUACAACCACCAAGGAGGGGACAGACUUUAGAAGAAGUUGGUUGCGAGUGUUUUGAUGACUUGGUUUCAAGACUAUUCUUCAAGCAAGUCAAGAAUGAUGAUGAGAAGUAUUUUGUGAUGCAUGAUCUCAUGCAUGACUUGGCAACUUUUCUUGCUGGAGAUCUUUAUUGUAGAUUCUCAGAAGAACUUGGUGAAAUGGAAGAGAUGAGUAUUCUAACACGUCAUUUGUCAUAUGGCGAUUCAAUCCCUGAAAAAACAUGCUCCUCUAAUAAAAUAGAAUCUUUGAGGACAUUACUAUAUACCAAUCAAGGAGCUGGUUUCUGGAAAGCACGCGCAACAUUACCAUGUGACAUAUUGUCAAAGAAUAAAUAUCUGAGAGUUUUAUCGUUUGAUAGACUCAAUACAUUUCCUGAUUCAAUAGCUAAAUUGAUCCAACUGCGCUAUUUGGAUCUUUCUUGGAGUGAUAUUGAGGUGUUGCCGCCGUCAUUAUGCAACAUGUGCAAUCUACAAACUUUGAAGUUAGAAGGCUGUUCAAAGCUGACUAUGCUGCCCAAUGGCAUGUAUAAUCUUGUGAAUUUGCGGCAUCUUAAUAUAACGGGUACUCCUCUGAAAGAAAUGCCAAAAGGAAUGGGCGAAUUAAAACAGUUGCACAUUUUAAGCAAGUUUGUGGUGGGAAAGCAAGAAGACAACAGAAUCCAAGAGUUAGGAGGGCUUUUAAAUCUUCAUGGUUCUCUUGAGCUUCAAAAAUUGGAGAAUGUGUUUGAUGUCAAUCAGGCAAGGAGUGCAAGGAUAAUAGAUAAGAAGCACAUUGAGUGCUUAUUCUUGGAAUGGUCUUCAGGUGAUGAUAUGGUUUCAAACAUACAUAAUGAUGAACAAGACAUACUCCAGGGCUUGCAACCGCACCGUGUCUUGAAAGUGUUAAAAAUCGAGGGAUACAAAGGUAAAAUAUUUGCAGAUUGGUUGGGGGGCUGUUCCUACAGCAAUAUGACACAUGUAUCUCUAGAGUCUUGCAGGAAUUGCUACAUGCUGCCUUCACUUGGACAGCUGCCAUCUCUAAAGUCCCUCCACAUUGAAAGGUUUGAUGAGCUGAAGAGCAUUGGCAAGGAGUUUUACAAGAAUGAAGGCCAUCAACAUUCUUUGCCUAUUGCACCGUUUCCCUCCUUGGAGACAUUGGAAUUUGAUGAGAUGUCAUGUUGGGAGGAGUGGCACUUACCUGACUCAGAAGCCUUUCCUCAGCUUAAGAGCCUUCAAAUAAGACAUUGUCGAAUGUUAAAGGGAGAUAUGCUUAAUCAGGUAUUGAUGAGAAUCGUUUCUUCCUCAUCGAAUGUUUCCAAAGUGCGACAACUGGAAAUACUAGAGGAUGGUGAAACAUGGGAUAAAAAGAUGAGACUUGACGGGGAUAUGUUAUCAAUUAGUGGAUUUGAAUGUGUGGUGGAGUGUGCAUUUAAGGAAAGGAUCAUGCACCAUCUAACUUCCCUCCAAGAACUACAUAUCUCAUUGUGUUUGUCUGUUGUAUCCUUGGGGGGAAAUUGUUUACCCAAAUCUUUGCAAAAGCUCACAAUGUAUAGGUGCAGGCAAAUUGAAUUACUCCAGCAACAAGACAAGUAUGAUUUGGUAGAUCUACAAAUAGAAUUCAGUUGUGAUUCACUGACCUCAUUGUCGUUGGAUGCCUUUCCCAAACUCAAGAAUCUGGAGAUAAGAGAAUGUAAGAAUCUGGAAUCAGUUUCAAUGUCAGAGCCACCACACGCUGCUCUUCAAUAUCUCAGCGUCACAAAUUGCGACAAGUGGGAGGCAUUGCCACGUGGCAUCCCAAAUUUAGAGUAUCUUGACAUACGAGGUUGCCCAAACAUUUGUAGGUUGCCAGAGGGAGGUUUGCCACCUAACCUGAAAGCGCUUAGGAUAGGAUUUUGCGAGCAACAACUGAGGGAUCUAUCAUGGUUGGGCAACUUGGACAACAUCACUUAUCUCACCAUCUCAGGCAACGGCUAUAAGAAGGGCAUACUAGAGUCAUUGAAGGUCGCUGCCUCGCCUUUCCCAGAGGAGGGUUGGCUGCCUCGCCUUCCCUCCCUUGCCUUUCUUCAGAUAAGCUGGUUUGAUAAUCUGCACACAUUGGAGUGCAGCGAGCUUCUCCACCUCACCUCCCUCCAGCAACUACACAUUGAGUACUGUUUGAACCUGAAGAUUAUGGAAGGAGAAAAGCUGCCUCCUUCUCUCUUACUACUUCGAAUUCAUGCCUGUCGUCUGUUGGGCGAACACUGCAAGAACAAGCAUCCACAAAUUUGGUCCAAAAUUUCCCACAUUCCCACCAUUCAAGUUGAUGGCAAGCAAAUUUUCUGAGCAGGUAGCUUGUGCACAUAUCGAGAUGUAAUCCUAUACAUUGGCUAUACAUCAUUUAAUUCUAAGUUCAUUUGAGGUGGUAAUUAAGCUGGAUUGAUGUAUUGGGAAACAGAAACUGUGUUUUUUCUGAUUUUGGCUUCAAGUUAUUGAAAAGCAAAGACAUGAUGGAGAAAGUUGGUGGCACUCAUUAUUGAAAAGCUUUGGUUGUUGUUGGAAGUACAUAUUGAAGUUUGGUAACCAUAUCUAAAUUAUCAUCAUUCAAUCCAAAGUUCAUCAGAAGAGGUGCUCUGUAAUUUUAGCUUCAGAAAAUAUUAGGUCGGGGCUUUGAGUGUUUGAUCGUUUGUGGAUUCUGCUCUGGAUGUCAAGCUUACUGGCUCCUCUUUUGAAAAUUAUUCACUAUAAAUCUGCAGUUGGGGAGUGGUUCAAUGGUAGUUUGGGCUGAAAUUUCAAUAGCAAGUUCUGGAUGUAUAUUUUUGUUCCGAAUGGUUGGUGGAUUAAGAUAAGAUUUGGAGGGUGAGAUAUGGCUUGCGUGCGCAAAGUAACUCUGGUUUUGUAAACUUUUCAUGUUUUUGGUUCACAUUUAUAUGCUAUGGUGCUUGAUUGUUUUGACUUAAUGUAAGCAUUUGAUUUGCUUACUUAUUUGAGAUUCUUUUGUAUCCUUAAUUAUUAUAGUAGUUUUUUGUUUGGGUCUG